Piliocolobus tephrosceles (Ugandan red Colobus) is the source of this 3887-nucleotide long non-coding RNA. RefSeq lists it as uncharacterized. The transcript has 6 exons. The record is from RefSeq and is a predicted model, not a curated record. Lineage: Eukaryota; Metazoa; Chordata; Mammalia; Primates; Cercopithecidae.
AGCCUGGCUUCUGGUCCUACCCUCCAUUAAAAUAGCAAUCAUGAAAGUCACCAAUGCCCCUCAUGUUGUGAAUUCCUGAGUGUUUUAGAGCGUGGAGAUGACAAAUUACACUUGCAUUUCACUUAACAGGAUUCAACUAUAUGUGUCCAGAAAAAGGAAAGAUGAAGUGAAAGAAUGAAGAAAAAAAUGAUAUGCUGCUCCCUGGAAUCAUGUUCCUGGCUCCUGGUAGUCCCUGACUUUACCUGUCUGUUCCAGGAACCUGCUUUAAGGCCAUUUGUUCUGAUGAUCAGUUUGGACAACCACCCUUUAUUCCACCACCUCAGACCAUAUUCAACAUCCUGGAACCAUCAUAGCACCAACAGCACUAAACUUUAGAAAGAAACUGAGCCGGUCUCAACUCAUCUGCAAACUGAGGGCUUGAACCAUUGUCACAGCCUCCUGCAAUUCUUGGGAAUGGUAGAGAUAUAUAUCUGCUAUUACUCUUUAGACUCAACGGAGAAGAGUUACUGAAACUGACAGCCUAGAGAAACUGACAGCCUACCUCACUUCACCCUCAACCGUUGAAGAGGGAAGCCAAUAAUACAAACGGAGAGCCCAUUGCAAUUUGCCAGACUGCAGUGCUUGAUGUUGAGAUCAGCCAGAAUCUCCAGAUACAAAACACAGGGAACCAGGGAACCAGAUAUCAGCUCAAGGAAGGACGAGUUUUCUUAAAAUUCACAGUGGCCCAAAUUUGGACCAUCGGUAACAACUGCAUGUUCUCACUGAAUGUAAGUAGUGGGCUGAGGCCAAAGCAGGACCACCACCACAGUCUGAAGAGUCCCUUAAGACAUUCUCUUAUUGGGUGGGGUUGGGAUGAAGUGAUCUCACAUUUCUGUUUUAAUCCUUAGUUCCUAAAAUUCUACACAUCUUUCUUGGGUGAAUGGAACAGACCAGCCUACAAAACACAGAUCCAUUUCAUUGUCUUCUAGGUUUCACCCAUUAUUUAGUUAUGAGAUGGCAUGAGGUCCAGAGGAGGGUGGAAGCUCAUGUGAGCAUCAUUAGUGAGGGUAGAAGACUCGCUGUCUGCACACCCUGGGCUGUGUGGUUCUCAGAAUGAGCCACCUGGAAGGUCGAUCCAAGCACAUGAAGAUUGGCUUUUCUGGUGUCAAGAGUAUCCUCUUUACUUUGGGUCUCCGGCAGGCCCUUAUUCCCUUUAAGGAUUUGGAGGUCAGGACACUUUUGGAAGUGCCUGAAUUAUUGACAAAAUCUGUCCUUUUAUUCUUGUUUUUGCUUGAUGCUACUACGUCUGUCUCUGACUUCUGCUGAAAAGCUAGUUAUGCAUUUCAUUGAUCAUUCCUUGUGUAGAGACCUGUAUUGGCUUUAUUAACAAUGUGUUUAUGGCCUUUAGUUUCUUCCUUAUGGGAAAGAGGGACUCCAACUUCUAUCAGCAUUUAAAUAUAGGGACAUUCUGCUGUAUUAUCUCUCUCCUUCAUGGUAAAAAAAAAAAGGGGUGUUGAAGGGUUUGUAGGAAUUCAUUAGUUUUCCACAAUAAAAAUUAUUUGAAAAUUACAGGCUGUGGUAGAAGCAGGUAUGGAGUUCCUUACAAGAUACCUCUAAGAGGGGUGUGUGUGUGUGUGUGUGUGUGUGUGUGUGUGUGUAUGUAUGUUGAGAUGAGUGGUUUCAGGCAUCCAUUGAAGUUACAUUUUUGUGUGUGCUACAGACAUUACAAAGCCAUCUCUUAGUUUCCUUUAUUUACAAACCAGGAACUUCAGCUGUUUUAUUAAAGACUGGAUGUGAACGCUGAGGUGCUUUGCCAACACAGACAUCAAAGGGACACAAGUGCACUUUUCCCAUAUGUUUUAGUUCGUUUUUCCCUGCAUGUCUGAUAUCAGUCAGAGAGAGUGCUAGAAUAUAAUACCUCACACCUUGAAGAUUAAACACCUUCUCAGCUGGUAUUUCUGUUUUGACUUCAUUUGCUGCCACGUUAUAUCAUAAGCACCUUGCACCAUGUCAUAGACGCUCUUGGUUCUGUCUGUGCAAUGAGAUUGUGUUUUUCAAAAGCGUUUUUUUUCUGCAAGUAAGUAAACUCUGCCUGAUCUUUGACACGAGCUUAGUCACUGAAUGAAUAGCUUCGUUGGACAACGAGGUAAGAUGAUAAUAGAGUCUAUAAUAGUGAUGCCAAUCACAGCGGGCAGGAAGGCUGUUCUUCUUAGACUGCUGUAUUUGUUAUUCUUAGACUGCUGUAUUUGUAAAUCAUGCUACAUUUCCCAUGGCUUAAUCUCAAAAUGCCACCUUGUCGGUGAUCGAGGUUUAUAUUUUAAGCUCCCCCAAAAAAAUAUUCCAGAAAGAACAUCCUACUCUUCUUUACUGUGUAAUAAAUAAGUUCCAGGAAGGACUCACAUCAUCUCAGGAAUUACCCAGGGGGCAUUUUUACUUCUUCACCUGGCCCUGUAACAGGCAGGCAGUUGUCACAUUCACUUAUACGUAAAAUGAUUCUUCCUUGUAUUGAAGGUUAUAUAUUUAUUUGCUGUAGUUUUAUUUUUACCUAAAUUGGAAGCACAUAUUCUGUUGUGGGCCGGGGAGUUGGAGUAUGGAAGCUCGGGGGUUCGGGGACAGGCCUGUUAGGAGGAAGCAGCAAGUCUAAGGACCAAUUAGAGGUGAGACAUCAGACCUUAGACUUGGAGGUACGUAUUAAAAGGAUAAAAACAAACAAGAAAGUGUUUCUAAACAUUCUUAACUUCUUGGAUUUGGUAUCUUCUUAAGGGCAAAACACUAAGGCAUAGAAAAAUCAGAAUUCAUGUUUCGUUUGUGUUAUAUCUUCAGAAAAGUUUUAUGUUUUUAUCUCAGAAAGUGGCUUCUCAAAUUUUGGUUUUAAAAUUUUCUGUCUACUUCCAUGUCCCUUCUCUAUACAUCCCUGUGACUAAAAAGCAGAAUAUGUGCCACUGUGUAGCUAGAAUAACAAAGGAACUGUGGAAUGUUCCUCUGUAAAGAAAUGGCCUAUUUCAGCCAUGUUCCUAUAGUCUAUGGUCUGAGUGCAGUGUCCUCUCCAGAUUCAGUGUUAAAAUCCUAACCUUCAAACUGAUAGAAGUAGGUGGUGGGGCCUUUGGGAGGAAUUAGGUCACGGGGGCAGAGCCCUCAUGGUUGGGAUUAGUGCCUUAAUAACAGAGGCACAAGAGACAACCCACUACCCUUCCGUUAUGUGAACACACAGUGAGAAGGCACUGUCUAUAAACCACAAAGCAGGCUCUCAUUAGACACAGAAUCUGCUGGUGCCCUGAUCUUAGACUUCCCAGGUUCCAGAGCUAUGAGAAAUAAAUUUCUGUUGUUUAUAAGCUAUUCAAUUUAUAGUAUUUUGUUACAGCAGCGUGAGCAGACUAACACGCUAUGUAAGGGCUGACUAUGAGAAUGAGACUCUAAAAGCUAGGAAUGGUAGCUUUAUAAAUUACCACUUAAAUGAGUACUAGCAUUUAAAAGGAAAUUUUAAUGAGGUGGUAAAGAAACUAUCAUCAAAUUUAGACUUAGAACAUCAGAUUAUUUUGCUCAAUCAUUGUGGUUUAAAGAAAAACAAAAUAAGCCUCAGAGAAAUUGCAAAUUGUGUCACAAGUUUUGUUGAACAAGUAAAAUCCUGGUCUCUUGAAUACCAUUCCUGGACUUAGUUGAGUACACUUGAUAUCUCCUUUAAUGCAACUAUUCAUGCCCAAAUCUACCUAUUUUGUAAUAGAUAAAAGAUUUUUUCAAACCAGAAAAAUGCCUUUAAUCACAAAUUGUUAGUUGUAAUAAGGUAGCAACUAAAAUCUAAUACAUGAUUGUUUUCUCUAUCAAAAAGAGUUCUGAAAGGUUAAACUGAUAUGAAAGAAUAGCAUAUUAUAAGAUGUUUUAUUUUAUAUUGUAAUUUUUAAUUGUAAAAA